Molecule: long non-coding RNA, 1870 nt
Organism: Maylandia zebra (zebra mbuna)
Lineage: Eukaryota; Metazoa; Chordata; Actinopteri; Cichliformes; Cichlidae
Source: RefSeq, a predicted model, not a curated record
GCGACGCGCCCUGCGUGAACACGGGGUUUGAAAUAUGCAGAGACUCGGCUAAGCUAGACGAGAAAGAGAGUUCAUCUGAUUUUGUUCUGCACUACUUCCUGUCACACACACAAGACCCAUGUCAGCGGCUAUGGCGAAUGAUACCAGUUUUGGCUGGCUUCGGCAAGCGCGUACGCUAAAUUGGAUACGAUACAGAGAAGAUUAGCAUGGCCCCUGCGCAAGGAUGACACGCGAAUAAUACCGCGUGGAUGACGACGUGGAAUAUGGACACAAAUCCCAGCAACAGAUGCUGUGGUGUAGAUGUCAUGGAAGGUCCUCUUCCCCCUCUCCAAGGCAGAACUUCGAGCUCCAUGACCUGAUGACACGAGCUCCUUCAUUCUUUAAGUCUUAAAAUUGGACAGCUUAUGCUUACAUGGGAUGACCCAAAUAUAUUCUGCCAGCAAAAGUAGGUGGAGGAAGAAGGACCCCAAAACUGGCAGCUUAAUAUCAGAACACUGUCAGCCCUACAGCAGCAGACACUGCAGUCACUGGUACAGCUCUUUGUGGACCUUCACUAGUUGUGCACAUCACCAGUCACUGAGCUGCUGCAGAAUGACUUACAUUGACCCGAUGUUAUCCAAUGCUGGAAAACAAUUUCCAGUAGUGAAUUCUCGAAGGAUCCAAACCUCUUCCUUCUUAUUUGAUGAUUGAAACAUCAGCUUGCAACCUCGUGCACAGCGAGGAAUCGGACAAGAUUUUGCAUCAGAAGAAAUAUCCAAAGUGGUGGGGAGCAUCAUGACCAGCCUUGGAAGAUCUGUGUUAUUGGCUUAAAUUGAACAUUUUCCUUCACUCUUACCACAGCAGCAACCAUCCAGGCAAAUACUGUAAUAAAAUGGCACAAACUUGUAUCAUAUUUCUCGCAGUUCUGAUUUUGGGGUCAUAACAUCCAGCUCUCAAAUAGCUGAAUUAAAGCAGCAGAGGGUUCAUUAAUCACUUUUGCUGAAAGUGUUUUGCAGAAGUGACAGCAACUGGACUCCUAAGAACGAUUACAGUUUCAGUGAAUGCCUUGCAUCAUCAGAGGCUUCAGCUCAUUUUAAAUAUCUGCUUGUUCUAUUGUUUUGUCAUCGAGCAGGGUUAGAAGCUUGUUUGCCUGGCACUAUGAUGUGUAUGUAUUAUUGUAGGGUCUACCUUACAAUAUAAAGUGGCUUGAGGUGACUGUUGUGAUUUGGUGCCAGAUAAAUAACUUUGAAUUGAAUUAAUCUGUAUUCAGAUAUUUAUGUACCCAGAAAAUGGAGAAAGUAACUGUAUAGUUGUAACAUUGAAGAUUCUCUGCAACAUCUGUGCAGGAAGCAAACUUGAGAUGGUUGGUGUUAAACGCAACAAUAUCCUGCUGUUCACCCGGUUAGCUGUAACUAUACUGAUAAUGAAAUCACUGGUGUAUUUUUACACCUUUAGAUACUGAUUUACACUGGCUCUGCAGGUUUGGUGUAUCUGUAGAGUAUCAGUGGUUUACACAUGGAUUUCUUUUGAAUAAACCAUAAUUGCUAACAGACAUAUGUAAUGUAGGUAUUUGGCACCAGUACAGAUCAUCUUACUGUGAUAUCAACCAGAUAUGAAUAGAUUAUAGAGAACUGGCUUCUUUAUUUACACGGAAUUGAAAGGGGGGGUAAAGAUGGGACCACAUUCAGGUUGGCUCAAUCUUCACUUUAAGAAAAAGGGGGGAAAAAAUGAAUAUAAAUAUAUAAAAAAAAGAUGUGCUCCUGGUAUUAAAUUACAAAUGUGUACAUCCUCUCAGUAUCACAUUCCUAUCUGUUGUUUUUGUUUGGUUUUCAGUCAAUACAGAAAUAUGAAAUGACAACAUGACCUAAAUAAACUAAAUUCAGACAUGUGA